Molecule: ribosomal RNA, 497 nt
Filed under: uncultured bacterium
Lineage: Bacteria
Description: partial 16S ribosomal RNA
Rfam family: Bacterial small subunit ribosomal RNA
Source: RNAcentral
GACGAACGCUGGCGGCGUGCCUAAUACAUGCAAGUUGAGCGCUGAAGGUUGGUAGUUGUACCAACUGGAUGAGCAGCGAACGGGUGAGUAACGCGUGGGGAAUCUGCCUUUGAGCGGGGGACAACAUUUGGAAACGAAUGCUAAUACCGCAUAAAAACUUUAAACACAAGUUUUAAGUUUGAAAGAUGCAAUUGCAUCACUCAAAGAUGAUCCCGCGUUGUAUUAGCUAGUUGGUGAGGUAAAGGCUCACCAAGGCGAUGAUACAUAGCCGACCUGAGAGGGUGAUCGGCCACAUUGGGACUGAGACACGGCCCAAACUCCUACGGGAGGCAGCAGUAGGGAAUCUUCGGCAAUGGACGAAAGUCUGACCGAGCAACGCCGCGUGAGUGAAGAAGGUUUUCGGAUCGUAAAACUCUGUUGGUAGAGAAGAACGUUGGUGAGAGUGGAAAGCUCAUCAAGUGACGGUAACUACCCAGAAAGGGACGGCUAACUACGUG